GUACAUUAUUAUUGAUACUUAAAAUGCCUUCUCUUUUCACAUUUACUUACAGGUUAUGGGUGCAUUGGUUGAAGCAGAACAUUGAAUAUCCUAUAUUGAUUGUCAUUGCACACAGAGCUGGCCUGGUGGAGAUUUUAAAUGAGUUUCUAGUUUGAAUAACCCAUGUGAAAGCAAUAUAUGAAAAAGGCAAUAUGAAGGCGCUAUAUGCUUUGAUGCUAAGACUGAAAAAGAGAACAUUCAAUAGAAUGACAUUCUAUUUGCCAUCAGCCAGACUUCAAGAGAUCUCAUUCAUGCAGACCCGGCAAAACCGGCAUAAACCUUAUUCAGCCUUUGAACAAAACAUGGUAAAGCGCGGCAGCUGGUGUUGUGAAUCAGGCCGUGACCGAUAAGAUACCGGCUACUUCACAACACCAGGGUUGUACUGUACCUCUCUCUACUCUUGAAUGUCGUUUGGUUAUCACUCUGCAAGUACUGGAGUCCUCUUAUUCUCAAUGGGAUAAUUAAGUAGCUUGAUGCAUUGUAGAGAUUUAGUGGAACUGAUAAUUUCAUACGCAUUACUUUCACAUCAUCCUGUCAAUCCUCAUCAGUCAUGUAUUUAAGUAGAUCAUCGUGGUGUUAAAAUAAUGAAAUGUGGAAACAUAUACUGUGUGAUGAAACCAAGCUUUGUAAGCAUGUAAAUGUUGAGACUUUUUUUGCAAACAACAUAGAAUUAGUAUUGUUUGGAAUACAUCUUUCAAGAAAUAGAAAAAUGUUAUAUUUCAUCUUUGUAAUGUUCCAAAUAGAAAGACAAUUACAUUACUUACAUGAUACUUCAAACAGGAAAAGGUUUAUUUGAACCCAAUAGAAUAUCUCAAAUCUAACCUGGCAGCACAAUGAGUAAAACAUACUUUGGGUUUUUUUUCUUUGUUUCUUGUUAUAACAUUAUUUCUUAAUAAACAAAAUCCUGAA
This is a long non-coding RNA of Spea bombifrons (plains spadefoot toad), 948 nucleotides long. RefSeq lists it as uncharacterized. Lineage: Eukaryota; Metazoa; Chordata; Amphibia; Anura; Pelobatidae. The transcript is spliced from 3 exons. The record is from RefSeq and is a predicted model, not a curated record.